UAGUUUGAUGAACCCCAAUUUGACCGUCACCCCGGGUAGCACCACGUCCAGCACCACAUCCAGCAGAUGAAGGUGUGCGUGUCCUAGCCAUCUGCGAAGAAAUAUUCCAAAGUCAAUCUCAAGUUAUUUCAACUCACGAUCAAAGAAUGAAAGAAGGGAAAACUUUCCUAAAUGUUCAGUAGCCUCGAGAUCAUAAGUAUGAGCGCCUACAUACCCAUGAACAAGACUCUACUAAACAUUGAUCCAUGACUCGGGACUUAAAGCCUAAGCUCUGAUACCAACUUUGUCAUGACCCCAUUUAGGAUUUUGACCAGCGCUUAGGAGCAAGUGCUCCCAAGUAAGCCUCAUCGGUAAUUUUUACAGAAAAUCGGACAGAGUUUCUCCUGUUUUUGGACCAUCCCAAAUUUUUUCUCCUGUCUCAAAUCAGCAACCAAACACCCUAAUAGCAACUCAAACAAUCGACAACUUAUUAAUUAACCAAAAUAGUCUUCACCAUUACUAAUCAACCCACUAACAACCAGAAAUACUAAUUUAUCUCCGACUUUGAAAAUAAAGAAUGAUACCCGACAUAAGACUAUAAUAACAAAAGAAUACUCACAACACUAAAAUAAUGACUAUGGAGUGACUCUAAGAAUUCAAUGAAAAGACCAUAACAAUAAAUAAAAUCUCUAUCCACGCGAACAAAUGCGAGGCUCAUCAAGAACUAUCAACUUGUGCGCUCUAAUUAACGAAAUCCUCGCCUGCGUCAACUGCUGUCUCUGUAAAAAAUUUAGCGGGGAAUGAGUCGCUAGCUCAGUGAGUAAUAACACUUAACCACAACCGUUUUUAUUUGGGGACAAGUCAGAAACAUGCUAGUAUCUCAACGAGAAAAUAACAUAAAAAUGCCCUUCAGAAAUAAUAAAUAAUUUUCAGUCUCAUCACGCUUUUCUUGUAGUAAAAUAUAAUUAACAAUUCAGUAAUAAGCUCGGUAACCACGGUAUAAUAUCAGUAUUCAAAUUUGGGAGGUUUCAAUGAACGGAUCAUAUAAUCGGUAUAAUUGUGGACUUCUUCGCAAGAAGUCAAAUAUAACGGCAGUCCCUACUCGAGGGAAAUAGGUAACGGUAUGCUAGUUCUACCUUCCCACUAGCGAGAGCUAUAACUGUACUCUGUAAUCGGUAAAUACAAGGUGCACCAGGUCUAACGAACCCGCUGUUAGCUACGGGAUCCUUCAAAGUCUACUCCCAUUUAUACUUGUCUCUGUAUCCAUAUAUGCUCAUAGGAAAAUAUUUUAAAACAAUAUAGGGCAUUUUGGUUCUUAUCAAAUCAUGUAAUUUCAUUUCAAUAACAGUAAAUUCAAGUAACGGUAGAACAUAUCUAGUGACAACAAGAAUAUUUAAAACAACGGUAAUCAUCUCAAAUAACUAUUUCGGUAUCAUAUCGAGUAAAAGACUUGUCCCACAUGCAACUCAAAAUAAUCGGUAACAUAUAUUAAAAAUCAUGUGUAAAUCAUGCAAGUUAUGAAAACACAAAUUGCGGUAAGAUUACUACUCACAGUACUCGUGCCGAAAUACCAACUGCUUCACUUCAAGCAACUCGUACAAAUUCCUCCGAUCAAUCUAUAAUUACAUAAUAUCGAUCUCAUGUUAAUUUUCUUAUUUAGGCUAAUUCAUAGCUAAUUUAGAAUACCCGACCCUCGAGGUUUCAUGUUUGACUCUUAAUUUGCCCAGAAUAAUUCUUAUUGGUAUUUAAUUUCUUAUACCUUAUGAAACCCUUCAAAUAUAUGAACUGAGAUAAAAAGAAUUACCAGAAGAAAAGAACUCAGAUGAGAAAUUCGAGUAUUACCCGUAAAACCCGUGCGUAUUUAAGAUUUCUCAAGAUUUGGUUCUAGCCUCUUUCUUCUUUCUCCCUUCUUUCCUUCUAUGUUUUUUUUUUCUUGUUUCGUUUCAGCUUCUGCUUCGUUUACGCAGAUUCUCUUUGCCAGAGAAAGGGGGCUUCGGCCUUUUUCCUUUGUUU
RNAcentral lists this long non-coding RNA (1992 nucleotides) under Nicotiana tabacum (common tobacco). Its description in RNAcentral is "long non-coding RNA (NTAB_LNC017865)". Lineage: Eukaryota; Viridiplantae; Streptophyta; Magnoliopsida; Solanales; Solanaceae. The record is from RNAcentral.